Molecule: ribosomal RNA, 253 nt
Filed under: uncultured bacterium
Lineage: Bacteria
Description: partial 16S ribosomal RNA
Rfam family: Bacterial small subunit ribosomal RNA
Source: RNAcentral
UACGUAGGGGGCAAGCGUUGUCCGGAUUUAUUGGGCGUAAAGAGCGUGUAGGCGGCUGGGUAGGUCCGUUGUGAAAACUCGAGGCUCAACCUCGAGACGCCGAUGGAAACCAUCCAGCUAGAGUCCGGAAGAGGAGAGUGGAAUUCCUGGUGUAGCGGUGAAAUGCGCAGAUAUCAGGAAGAAUACCCGUGGCUAAGGCGGCUCUCUAGUACGGUACUGACACUGAGACGCGAAAGCGUGGGGAGCGAACAGG